AUAGAUCAGGUAAUGACAAUCCGGUCGAGACACAUGAGCCAACAGAGGAAGAAGAUUUCGGUGCCUAAUUUGACCCACAGUGUUGAUUUCUGAUCGGAUUUGGCGCAUUUUCUUGUUCAUCAGCUUACUGUCUUCAUCAGCAGUCAGCUCUUCAGCAUCUUUAGGGGGUUGAAUAAUCUUCUUUAUAGCAAUCAUUCUGCCAUUGCUUCCAGGUAAUUCAGCUUUAUAAACCUCUCCACAUCCACCUCUUCCUAUAAGUUCCAGAGAAGCCAACCCAUCUUCUUUUUCCAGGAAAGCCAAGUCCUCCUUCCUUUUAAUCAGAGAACUGAAAAUUGCUGGGCCUGAGUCUUUGCCUCCACCUCUUACCACAGCUAAGAGCAGCUUAAAAAGCAGAGAGAAGAUGAACCCGGAUAUGCUCCCAGCCAGAGCGCCAGCGAAAAAUCCGAGCAGCCACCCUCCUAGCUUCUUCUUGUUGUUCUUAUGCUUCUUGUGCUUUGGUGCUGGAGAUGGACCUGGAGCAUUAGAAGCUCCGCUCCCAGAGGGUGCAAGAGCUGCACCUGAAGUAUUGUUGUGCCUUUUUGUGCUCGAAUUCUCAGCCAAGAUGUAACGUUUUGGCACUUCAGAUGCUGAAAUCUCGACCCUUUUCAUUGUAGGCACUGAGCCUUCAAGGAGUUCAUUUCCAGCAAAGUUGAAGAUCCGAAGAUUGCGAAAGGAACGAAUGGAAGCUGGGAUUUUGCCAGAGAAGAAAUUGUCAGCAAUGGAAAGUUUUUCCAGGUUGGGAAAAAGCUUGAGGAAACUCA
RNAcentral lists this long non-coding RNA (800 nucleotides) under Prunus persica (peach). Its description in RNAcentral is "long non-coding RNA (PPER_LNC005483)". Lineage: Eukaryota; Viridiplantae; Streptophyta; Magnoliopsida; Rosales; Rosaceae. The record is from RNAcentral.